Molecule: non-coding RNA, 846 nt
Organism: Microcebus murinus (gray mouse lemur)
Lineage: Eukaryota; Metazoa; Chordata; Mammalia; Primates; Cheirogaleidae
Source: RefSeq, a predicted model, not a curated record
GUAAUGGCUGGAUUUCUAGCAGCCAUAUUGAACCAUGAGGUGACUUUGGGAGCAGAAGUCAUGUUCCGUGAAGCAACAAGAUAGAGGAAGCCUGAAUUCCGGACAUCACAGAGAAUUCACAGUAGCCUUGGACUCAUUGCCUCUGAGCUUCCUUUUACUUGUUUCUCCCCCCAUGGUUUCAGCCAUACUGGAAAUGUUGCCAGCCAGUUCGCAGAUCUUAGGCCAUCCCGAGGGUGGAGGAUACUUCCUGAUGGCUGGGCUGUGUGACAUGCUUUGGACGAUGAAAUGUGAGUGGAAGUGACACGUGCCACUUUGAAGCAGACUCUUCAAGAACCUUCCAUGUUGCUCUGCUCUUUCUCUUUUUCCCUGGCCGUGGGACCUGCGUGCUCCUUCCACCCUGGUCCUGCAGUGAAGCGGGCGCGGCGCAGAGGGUCACGGCCAGCCUGUGACAUCCCGGACACCGGUGAGAACUGGGCCUCUGCUGUUGGAAGCCACUGAGGUUUGGGGUCCCUUGUCCCAGCAUCCUCAGCCUGCGCCGACUCAUAGAGCACACGGCCCCACAUUGUGACCCUGUAUUUGUUUCUGUCUCCUGCGCUCAACUGCGAGCAGCUUGGUAGCAGGGACUGGGCCUUUCCUUGACUCAACAACUAUUUAUUCUGAGCUUUCUAUGUGACAAGCUCUGGGCUAGACCCUGAGGUCACAGCGAGGAAGAGAUUAGUCCUUGACCUUGACUUGCCAGGUCUGAUGGGGACCCACACACAUGGCAACGAUGACAGUCUAAAAGAAAUGUGCCUGGGGGGCCCAGGGAGCCGGAGGGGGGCUCCCGCCGCUGCAGGGGACAGGAGU